AAUAGAUACCCGGGUAGUCCACGCCGUAAACGAUGUCGACUUGGAGGUUGUGCCCUUGAGGCGUGGCUUCCGGAGCUAACGCGUUAAGUCGACCGCCUGGGGAGUACGGCCGCAAGGUUAAAACUCAAAUGAAUUGACGGGGGCCCGCACAAGCGGUGGAGCAUGUGGUUUAAUUCGAUGCAACGCGAAGAACCUUACCUACUCUUGACAUCCAGAGAACUUAGCAGAGAUGCUUUGGUGCCUUCGGGAACUCUGAGACAGGUGCUGCAUGGCUGUCGUCAGCUCGUGUUGUGAAAUGUUGGGUUAAGUCCCGCAACGAGCGCAACCCUUAUCCUUUGUUGCCAGCGAUUCGGUCGGGGACUCAAAGGAGACUGCCAGUGAUAAACUGGAGGAAGGUGGGGAUGACGUCAAGUCAUCAUGGCCCUUACGAGUAGGGCUACACACGUGCUACAAUGGCAUAUACAAAGAGAAGCGACCUCGCGAGAGCAAGCGGACCUCAUAAAGUAUGUCGUAGUCCGGA
RNAcentral lists this ribosomal RNA (520 nucleotides) under uncultured bacterium. RNAcentral describes it as "bacterial SSU rRNA". It matches the Rfam family "Bacterial small subunit ribosomal RNA", at positions 777 to 1297 of the family's 1533-position model. The record is from RNAcentral.